GAUGAACGCUGGCGGCGUGCCUAAUACAUGCAAGUCGAGCGAACAGAUAAGGCUCUUGCUCCUUUCACGUUAGCCGCGGACGGGUGAGUCACACGUGGAUAACCUACCUAUAUGUCUGAUAUAACUUCGGGACACCGGAUCUUAUCCCGUAUAACAUUUUGCACCUCGUGGUUCUAAAGUGAAUGUUGGUUUUGCUAUCUCUUAUCGCUGGUCCCCCGCCGUAUUAUCGAGUUGGUAAGGUAACGGCUUAUCAAGGCGACGAUACGUAACCGACCUGACAGGGUGAUAGGCCACACUGGAACUGAGACAGGGACCAGAGUCCUACGGGAGGCAGCAGUAGGGAAGCUUACGCAAUGGGCGAAAGCAUGACGGAGCAAGGCCGCGUGAGAGAUGAAGGGGUUCGGUGCGUAAAACUCUGUUAUUAGGGAAGAACAAAUGUGUAAGGAAAUGUGGACGGAGUGACGGUAACGAAUCAGAAAGCAACGGCUAACUACGUG
This 497-nucleotide ribosomal RNA is filed under the name uncultured bacterium. RNAcentral describes it as "partial 16S ribosomal RNA". It matches the Rfam family "Bacterial small subunit ribosomal RNA", at positions 28 to 507 of the family's 1533-position model. The record is from RNAcentral.